This 446-nucleotide ribosomal RNA is filed under the name uncultured bacterium. RNAcentral's name for it is "partial 16S ribosomal RNA". It matches the Rfam family "Bacterial small subunit ribosomal RNA", at positions 338 to 795 of the family's 1533-position model. The record is from RNAcentral.
CCUACGGGUGGCAGCAGUCGAGAAUCAUUCACAAUGGGGGAAACCCUGAUGGUGCGACGCCGCGUGGGGGAAUGCAGGUCUUCGGAUUGUAAACCCCUGUUAUGUGGGAGCAAAUUAAAAAGUUAGUACCACAAGACGAAGAGACGGCUAACUCUGUGCCAGCAGCCGCGGUAAUACAGAGGUCUCAAGCGUUGUUCGGAAUCACUGGGCGUAAAGCGUGCGUAGGCUGUUUCGUAAGUCGUGUGUGAAAGGUGCGGGCUCAACCCGCGGACGGCACAUGAUACUGCGAGACUAGGGUAAUGGAGGGGGAACCGGAAUUCUCGGUGUAGCAGUGAAAUGCGUAGAUAUCGAGAGGAACACUCGUGGCGAAGGCGGGUUCCUGGACAUUAACUGACGCUGAGGCACGAAGGCCAGGGGAGCGAAAGGGAUUAGAUACCCCUGUAGUC